This 85-nucleotide transfer RNA is filed under the name Candidatus Pelagibacter communis. RNAcentral's name for it is "tRNA-Leu". It matches the Rfam family "tRNA". Rfam says of the family: Transfer RNA (tRNA) molecules are approximately 80 nucleotides in length. Their secondary structure includes four short double-helical elements and three loops (D, anti-codon, and T loops). Further hydrogen bonds mediate the characteristic L-shaped molecular structure. tRNAs have two regions of fundamental functional importance: the anti-codon, which is responsible for specific mRNA codon recognition, and the 3' end, to which the tRNAs corresponding amino acid is attached (by aminoacyl-tRNA synthetases). tRNAs cope with the degeneracy of the genetic code in two manners: having more than one tRNA (with a specific anti-codon) for a particular amino acid; and 'wobble' base-pairing, i.e. permitting non-standard base-pairing at the 3rd anti-codon position. The record is from RNAcentral. RNAcentral also lists the same sequence under 29 other names. Lineage: Bacteria; Pseudomonadati; Pseudomonadota; Alphaproteobacteria; Candidatus Pelagibacterales; Candidatus Pelagibacteraceae.
GGGCGAAUGGCGGAAUUGGUAGACGCGCUGGUCUUAGGAACCAGUAUUGAAAGAUGUGAAGGUUCGAGUCCUUUUUCGCCUACCA